Long non-coding RNA from Meriones unguiculatus (Mongolian gerbil), 1305 nucleotides. RefSeq lists it as uncharacterized. NCBI's taxonomy places the organism in Eukaryota, Metazoa, Chordata, Mammalia, Rodentia, Muridae. The transcript is spliced from 3 exons. The record is from RefSeq and is a predicted model, not a curated record.
CCCAGGGGUCACUGAAAGCCGGGUUGCGGGAGUUUGAGGAGGUGUGUGGCGGUGGUGCGCUCGGAUAGCCCACAGGUGCUCGGGGUCUAGGUCAGGUGGAUGCGGUGCUCUCGCGAGCCCGCGGGCGGAGGGCGCUUCGUGUCGGGUUAGGGCUUCGGCGUCGGUCCCGGCCGCUCCGAGCUGGAGAGAAUUGAAUGCCUCCUGAAUUGGCGUCCAGGCUUGCACAGCCUGUUGGCUUCUCCUGUUGGGAGUUUGCACUUUGAACAUGCCCAGUCCUGUGAAAUAUCAUGAAGUGCAAGUCUUUAAUACACAAACGAAAAGCACAAUUCGGAGAGACGCUCAUGCCAACAGUGCUGCUCCUUGGAUGUAUCAGGCCUUCUAAUUUGCAGCCAUCUGGGUUAAUUAGUCCUACUGUUCCCGAACUGGUUUCCUUCAAUGACAUUGAGGGGUGUGCCUUUUAAUCAUCAUAAACCAGGCUCAACUCCGUAUGUGAGAUUUGGGAUACUAAAAGUGAAAAUUGCAAUUAUUUAGAAUGGGAGGCAGAGGCAAGAAAAUACAGUAAGUUCUCCUUGGCACCUUUGUAAUAAAUAGACCCUGGUUGUGUUGAAGCAGAAUUCCUAGCACCAAAGAAACUCACGGUUGCUUUAAGACAGCAUAAUUUCAUUCACCCUUACCUGUCACUCUGUUUUCUGGAGUUUCAAACAGUAGGAUGGCUGUGUUGUACAGAUAGGAGAAGAAAAAGAGAAGCCUGCUGGUGAGGUUCUGGAGAAAACGCUUGUUUACUGUUGAACUGAAUAUGUAAUGGGAAGUGUUCUUUCUGCCUUGCCUGUUUUAUUCUCAGGAAGCAGGCUUGAGAGUGAAAAUUCCUGGAGCUGAGGCAGCCAUCCUGAAGCUACACACUAACAAGGCUAAAGAAUAAAUAAACCCCAGUUUCCUGCAUCCUGGGUGAUGUGUUCAGUGAAUGGCCUAGGGGGCUGAACAACCUGCAUUGCAGCUUGCUGAAGAUACACGAGACAGAGACAGCUGGGAUUGUGGCAGCUCUCCAAAAGGAUGCCAUGCUUAGUGAAAAUAGACAGAUUCAAAUAGAGUGGGGUUUGGUUUUGUUUUGUUUUACCUUUUUGUUUUUGAGACAUGCUCUCAGUCUGUAGCCUAGGGCUGACUUUAAACUGGUGUUUUUCCUGCCUGAGCCUUCUGAGCACUAGGACUGUGGGUAAGCAUCACCAGGCUGAGGUGUUAGCCAUUUCUAAUCUAAAAUAAGUGUAUAAUGCUCUAAGUAACAUUAAAAAUAAAAGGCCAUUUUGUACA